UUUGAUAAUCAAGAGUCUUGUGCAUCCUUAAGUUAUCCAGUCAACCAUAAUGUCCUUCAUAAUUUAAAUCUUCACGAUUACUCUAUUAUGCCCCUCUUGAUUUGAAAGUAUUGCUUUGUGAUUCUUCUUCCCUUCUUCACUUUGAUUUGGCACGUCCUAAGCUUUGCACCUUCACUGUCUUAUUUUUGUGUUUAUUAUUUGCUGAAGUACUGCAAAACACUGUACAUGGUUCACAACAAUGGUAUCAUAUCACUAGAAUAAAAUAGAUUGUGAUUUUUUUUUUUUAAUUACAUUCCAAGGUACAUUGUAUAUUUCUAUGUUAAUCCAAUGUAUGAGUUUGGUUAACGGUUUUCCACUGCAAGUUUGUCUAACUUGCAAUGACCAAGAACGGAAUAAAUGUGUAGAAGUCUGGAUGCUGCUCUUUGUUUCAUGCUUGCAGUUAUUGAGCAACAGUCGAGCUUUAGUAAGCUCCUAACCCAAUACUGCUUUGAUACCAUGGGACUUAAUUGGAGCAAAUUUGUUAUAUAUUGCCAAAUUUUUUCUCAUACAUGCCCCCUCUAAAUAUUAUUUGCAUAUAUAAAUCCUCAUUUUAGAUCAUGUUUCUUCUUACAGAUGUUCUUGCAAUUAAAUCCAGCUGCGCA
This 641-nucleotide long non-coding RNA is filed under the name Elaeis guineensis (African oil palm). Its description in RNAcentral is "long non-coding RNA (EGUI_LNC070161)". Lineage: Eukaryota; Viridiplantae; Streptophyta; Magnoliopsida; Arecales; Arecaceae. The record is from RNAcentral.